RNAcentral lists this ribosomal RNA (459 nucleotides) under uncultured bacterium. Its description in RNAcentral is "partial 16S ribosomal RNA". It matches the Rfam family "Bacterial small subunit ribosomal RNA", at positions 338 to 795 of the family's 1533-position model. The record is from RNAcentral.
CCUACGGGAGGCAGCAGUGAGGAAUAUUGGUCAAUGGGCGCGAGCCUGAACCAGCCAAGUAGCGUGCAGGAUGACUGCCCUACGGGUUGUAAACUUCUUUUAUGCAGGAAUAAAGUGCGUCACGUGUGAUUUUUUGUAUGUACUUCAUGAAUAAGGACCGGCUAAUUCCGUGCCAGCAACCGCGGUAAUACGGAGGGUCCGAGCGUUAUCCGGUUUUAUUGGGUUUAAAGGGUGCGUAGGCGGCCUUUUAAGCUAGCGGUAAAAUUCCGGGGCUCAACCCCGUCCGGCCGUCGAAACUGGGUGCCUUGAGUGGGCGGGAAGAAGGCGGAAUUCGUGGUGUAGCGGUGAAAUGCAUAGAUAUCACGCAGAACCCCGAUUGCGAAGGCAGCCUUCCGGCGCCCUACUGACGCUGAGGCACGAAGGUGCGGGGAUCGAACAGGAUUAGAUACCCGAGUAGUC